This 512-nucleotide ribosomal RNA is filed under the name uncultured bacterium. Its description in RNAcentral is "partial 16S ribosomal RNA". It matches the Rfam family "Bacterial small subunit ribosomal RNA", at positions 28 to 507 of the family's 1533-position model. The record is from RNAcentral.
GAUGAACGCUGGCGGCGUGCCUAAUACAUGCAAGUCGAACGAAACUUCUUUAUCACCGAGUGCUUGCACUCACCGAUAAAGAGUUGAGAGGCGAACGGGUGAGUAACACGUGGGCAACCUGCCCAAAAGAGGGGGAUAACACUUGGAAACAGGUGCUAAUACCGCAUAACCAUAGUUACCGCAUGGUAACUAUGUAAAAGGUGGCUAUACUACCGCUUUUGGAUGGGCCCGCGGCGCAUUAGCUAGUUGGUAGGGUAAAGGCUUACCAAGGCAAUGAUGCGUAGCCGAAUUGAGAGGUUGAUCGGCCACAUUGGGACUGAGACACGGCCCAAACUCCUACGGGAGGCAGCAGUAGGGAAUCUUCCACAAUGGGCGAAAGCCUGAUGGAGCAACGCCGCGUGGGUGAAGAAGGUCUUCGGAUCGUAAAACCCUGUUGUUAGAGAAGAAAGUGCGUGAGAGUAACUGUUCACGUUUCGACGGUAUCUAACCAGAAAGCCACGGCUAACUACGUG